GUCUACGACCCAUGCCGCACUGAACAAGCCCGAUCCUGUCUGAUCUCGGAAGCUAAGCAGGAUCAGGCCUGGUUAGUACUUGGAUGGGAGACCACCUAGGAAAACCUGGUGCUAUAAGCA
Pteropus vampyrus (large flying fox) is the source of this 120-nucleotide ribosomal RNA. The record is from Ensembl. NCBI's taxonomy places the organism in Eukaryota, Metazoa, Chordata, Mammalia, Chiroptera, Pteropodidae.